RNAcentral lists this ribosomal RNA (253 nucleotides) under uncultured bacterium. RNAcentral's name for it is "partial 16S ribosomal RNA". It matches the Rfam family "Bacterial small subunit ribosomal RNA", at positions 524 to 776 of the family's 1533-position model. The record is from RNAcentral.
UACGGGGGGGGUAAGCGUUGUUCGGAAUUACUGGGCGUAAAGGGCUCGUAGGCGGCCAACUAAGUCAUACGUGAAAUCCCUCAGCUUAACUGGGGAACUGCGUGUGAUACUGGAUGGCUUGGAUUUGGGAGAGGGAUGCGGAAUUCCAGGUGUAGCGGUGAAAUGCGUGGAUAUCUGGAGGAACACCGGUGGCGAAGGCGGCAUCCUGGACCAAUAUUGACGCUGAGGAGCGAAAGCUAGGGGAGCAAACGGG